Massospora cicadina is the source of this 72-nucleotide non-coding RNA. The record is from the annotation of a GenBank genome assembly. NCBI's taxonomy places the organism in Eukaryota, Fungi, Entomophthoromycota, Entomophthoromycetes, Entomophthorales, Entomophthoraceae.
AGUUGGAAGUCUAGUUGUUAGGGCAUUUGGCUACCAACCUGAAGGUUGCAGGUUCAAUUCCUGCCCACACUU